RNAcentral lists this long non-coding RNA (781 nucleotides) under Homo sapiens (human). Its description in RNAcentral is "HSALNT0238622". The record is from RNAcentral. Lineage: Eukaryota; Metazoa; Chordata; Mammalia; Primates; Hominidae.
CUUUGAGAUGGCCUCCUCAGGGUGCGCUGGGGAGGUCUCUUUGCCAUGUUCAGAACUCGCCCUGGCCUGGACUCCCCUGGAGCUCCCUUGAGCUUCUCUGAACCCCUAGGUGACAGGGGAAGAAACCCUCAGAUGGGUGAUCACGGCCCUUCCCGCCCCCUGGUCCCAGGCAUUGAUGGGGCUGUGGCAUUUGCUUUUCCUUCCUCCAGGGGUCCUGGCUCCACUCAGCUUCCCACUCCUCCUGCCCCCUCCAGAGCAGCUGCGUCCCUGCGAUCAAUAUGGAGCUGAUCAAUCUAUCUGUCCCUCUGCUUGGCUGAGGAAGCCAGCAAUGAUGGCCACCUUGGGACCCCAUGAGUGCUCCUGAGACUGUGGCAUGUAUCACCUCCUCACUGCACAGGGCUCCUGCCUGUGUGGAGAGAUGAUGGCUCCCCACCACUGCCACCUCCCCCACACCCCUGCCCACCCACGUCUCCCGCUCCCCGGGCUCACAGUCUGGGUAGAGGCUGUUUCAAACAGAAGACCAAGCAUCUGCGGGAAUCCAGACCAGACCCUAAGCCAGCUCCAGAGGGCUUCCUGGGGGAGAAGAGUUUUGACAAGAGUAUCCAAGGCAGAAGAAACAGCCUGGGCAAAAGCCUGGAGGUGGGGAAAUUGAGACCUCCUGGAGGCUGAGGAAGGCUGGAGGGAGGGAGGAGAACAAAGGGCCUUAACCAGCCAUCAGGUGAGGGCAGCUAGGCCUUCCCCAGGGCCACAUUAUGACUUUCAAGCACCCAGGGCACUUUGG